AGUCGUAACACGGUAAGCGUACUGGAAAGUGUGCUUGGUCUUGAGCCGUAACUCUAGCCCCCACCCUUCGAAUAUUGACUCACUUUUCUCCCCGCCCCCUAAAACAUUUUAACUUUGUAGUAGAGGCGAUCGAAACACACUUUAGCGCUUCAGAUUAAGUACCGCAAGGGAAAGAUGAAAUAAUACUGAAAUAUCACCAAGCCCCUAACAGCAGAGACCCCUCCUCGUACCUUUUGCAUCAUGGUCUAGCUAGUCUAACCAAGCAAAAUGAUUUUUAGUUUGCCCCCCCGAAACUAAGUGAGCUACUUUAAAACAGCCUUUAGAGCUAACCCGUCUCUGUCGCAAAAGAGUGGGGUGAUUUUAAAGUAGAGGCGAUAAACCUACCGAACUUAGAAAUAGCUGGUUUUUUAAGAAAAGAAUUUUAGUUCAGCCCCAAGCCUCUCCGUUAAACAAAAACCAUCUUAGGCCUGGGAGUUAUUCAAAUAAGGCACAGCUUAUUUGAAACAGGAUACAACCUAGAACAUAGGGUAAGACAACUAUAUUUUUAACAAGUGGGCCCAAAAGCAGCCACCUUCUAAAAAGCGUCAAAGCUUAGUAAUAACAGUUUCCCAAUAACUGCAAUAACUUCUAACCCAUACCCCCUAUUAAAUAACCCCAUAAAUUUAUGGAAGCUAUUAUGCUAGAACAAGUAACAAGAAAAAAUUUUUCUCCAAAAUGUAAGCUUUAGCCGCAAUAGACAACCUACCGGCAAUUAACGACUUUAAACCAAUUAUAGUAACGCCAGCAAGAAAACUCUAUAAACCCCAUCGUCAACCUCACACCAGCACAUUCAUGGAAAGAUUAAAAGAGUGGGAAGGAACUCGGCAAAUAUUGAUCCCGCCUGUUUACCAAAAACAUCGCCUCUUGCUUAAACAUAAGAGGUCCAGCCUGCCCAGUGACAAGAUUUAACGGCCGCGGUACCCUAACCGUGCGAAGGUAGCAUAAUCACUUGUUCUUUAAAUGAGGACUGGUAUCAACGGCACCACGAGGAUCUUACUGUCUCCCCCCUCUAAUCAGUGAAACUGAUCUCCCCGUGAAGAAGCGGGGAUAUUUAUAUAAGACGAGAAGACCCCAUGGAGCUUUAAACCCGACAGCACCCGCCUAGCCCACGCCCCUCUAUUGACCCGGCCCCUGUCUGCUCGGUUUUAGGUUGGGGUGACCACGGAGUAUAAAAUAACCUCCACGAAGAAAGGAGUAAUAAUCCUCAUCUAAGAGCCACACCUCUAAGAGCUAAUACAUUAACUUUUAAUGAUCCGAUAUUUGAUCAACGAACCAAGUUACCCUGGGGAUAACAGCGCAAUCCGCCUCAAGAGCUCCUAUCGACAGGUGGGUUUACGACCUCGAUGUUGGAUCAGGGUAUCCCAGUGGUGCAGCAGCUACCAAAG
This 1424-nucleotide ribosomal RNA is filed under the name Boophis periegetes. RNAcentral describes it as "partial 16S ribosomal RNA". It matches the Rfam family "Bacterial large subunit ribosomal RNA", at positions 359 to 2570 of the family's 2925-position model. The record is from RNAcentral. Lineage: Eukaryota; Metazoa; Chordata; Amphibia; Anura; Mantellidae.